This 284-nucleotide ribosomal RNA is filed under the name uncultured bacterium. RNAcentral describes it as "partial 16S ribosomal RNA". It matches the Rfam family "Bacterial small subunit ribosomal RNA", at positions 773 to 1060 of the family's 1533-position model. The record is from RNAcentral.
GUGGAUUAGAUACCCGGGUAGUCCGCACCGUAAACGAUGAUUACUCGUUGUUAGCGAUAUGACAGUUAGCGACCAAGCGAAAGCGAUAAGUAAUCCACCUGGGGAGUACGCCGGCAACGGUGAAACUCAAAGGAAUUGACGGGGGCCCGCACAAGCGGAGGAGCAUGUGGUUUAAUUCGAUGAUACGCGAGGAACCUUACCUGGGCUUGAAAGUUAGUGACCGUCUCUGAAAGGAGAUUUUCCGCAAGGACACGAAACUAGGUGCUGCACGGCCGUCGACAGCU